RNAcentral lists this ribosomal RNA (602 nucleotides) under Brevibacterium sp. Cr-B117. Its description in RNAcentral is "bacterial SSU rRNA". It matches the Rfam family "Bacterial small subunit ribosomal RNA", at positions 341 to 942 of the family's 1533-position model. The record is from RNAcentral. Lineage: Bacteria; Bacillati; Actinomycetota; Actinomycetes; Micrococcales; Brevibacteriaceae.
CNUCACGUCAACAAUGGGGGAAAUUGCACAAUGGGGGGUAAUUCUCGCUGCACGACGCAGCGUGCGUUGAUGACGGCCUUCGGGUUGUAAACCGCUUUCAGCAGGGAAGAAGCGCAAGUGACGGUACCUGCAGAAGAAGUACCGGCUAACUACGUGCCAGCAGCCGCGGUAAUACGUAGGGUACGAGCGUUUUCCGGAAUUAUUGGGCGUAAAGAGCUCGUAGGUGGUUGGUCACGUCUGCUGUGGAAACGCAACGCUUAACGUUGCGCGUGCAGUGGGUACGGGCUGACUAGAGUGCAGUAGGGGAGUCUGGAAUUCCUGGUGUAGCGGUGAAAUGCGCAGAUAUCAGGAGGAACACCGGUGGCGAAGGCGGGACUCUGGGCUGUAACUGACACUGAGGAGCGAAAGCAUGGGGAGCGAACAGGAUUAGAUACCCUGGUAGUCCAUGCCGUAAACGUUGGGCACUAGGUGUGGGGGGCAUUCCACGUUUCUCCGCGCCGUUAUCUAACGCAUUUAAGUGCCCCGCCUGGGGGAGUUACCGUCGCAAAGGCUAAAACUCAAAGGAAUUGACGGGGGGCCCCGCCACAANCCGGNCGGAACCU